Molecule: ribosomal RNA, 228 nt
Filed under: Triticum aestivum (bread wheat)
Lineage: Eukaryota; Viridiplantae; Streptophyta; Magnoliopsida; Poales; Poaceae
Description: partial small subunit ribosomal RNA
Source: RNAcentral
AUGGACCAAUCCAUCCCUUUUUCCCGUGCAUAUGCAUCGGACUCGGAUGACGAUGGUCCCGAUGAAGAAGUUGAUGAGGAGGGAUUCACGCCGAAGGAGGCCCAAGCAUUCAAGAAGGUAUUCGGGCGGGAUCACAAGACACCAUUGUUCAAGGAUCUUAGUCUCGCGGAUGAAGCUGUUGUGGAUGGUGGCAAAUGCAUUUCUCUUGGAGCUAGGCCAAGUUCUCAC